UUAAGCGACUAAGCGUACACGGUGGAUGCCCUGGCAGUCAGAGGCGAUGAAGGACGUGCUAAUCUGCGAUAAGCGUCGGUAAGGUGAUAUGAACCGUUAUAACCGGCGAUUUCCGAAUGGGGAAACCCAGUGUGAUUCGUCACACUAUCAUUAACUGAAUCCAUAGGUUAAUGAGGCGAACCGGGGGAACUGAAACAUCUAAGUACCCCGAGGAAAAGAAAUCAACCGAGAUUCCCCCAGUAGCGGCGAGCGAACGGGGAGCAGCCCAGAGCCUGAAUCAGUGUGUGUGUUAGUGGAAGCGUCUGGAAAGGCGCGCGAUACAGGGUGACAGCCCCGUACACAAAAAUGCACAUACUGUGAGCUCGAUGAGUAGGGCGGGACACGUGGUAUCCUGUCUGAAUAUGGGGGGACCAUCCUCCAAGGCUAAAUACUCCUGACUGACCGAUAGUGAACCAGUACCGUGAGGGAAAGGCGAAAAGAACCCCGGCGAGGGGAGUGAAAAAGAACCUGAAACCGUGUACGUACAAGCAGUGGGAGCACGCUUAGGCGUGUGACUGCGUACCUUUUGUAUAAUGGGUCAGCGACUUAUAUUCUGUAGCAAGGUUAACCGAAUAGGGGAGCCGAAGGGAAACCGAGUCUUAACUGGGCGUUAAGUUGCAGGGUAUAGACCCGAAACCCGGUGAUCUAGCCAUGGGCAGGUUGAAGGUUGGGUAACACUAACUGGAGGACCGAACCGACUAAUGUUGAAAAAUUAGCGGAUGACUUGUGGCUGGGGGUGAAAGGCCAAUCAAACCGGGAGAUAGCUGGUUCUCCCCGAAAGCUAUUUAGGUAGCGCCUCGUGAAUUCAUCUCCGGGGGUAGAGCACUGUUUCGGCAAGGGGGUCAUCCCGACUUACCAACCCGAUGCAAACUACGAAUACCGGAGAAUGUUAUCACGGGAGACACACGGCGGGUGCUAACGUCCGUCGUGAAGAGGGAAACAACCCAGACCGCCAGCUAAGGUCCCAAAGUCAUGGUUAAGUGGGAAACGAUGUGGGAAGGCCCAGACAGCCAGGAUGUUGGCUUAGAAGCAGCCAUCAUUUAAAGAAAGCGUAAUAGCUCACUGGUCGAGUCGGCCUGCGCGGAAGAUGUAACGGGGCUAAACCAUGCACCGAAGCUGCGGCAGCGACGCUGAUGCGUUGUUGGGUAGGGGAGCGUUCUGUAAGCCUGCGAAGGUGUGCUGUGAGGCAUGCUGGAGGUAUCAGAAGUGCGAAUGCUGACAUAAGUAACGAUAAAGCGGGUGAAAAGCCCGCUCGCCGGAAGACCAAGGGUUCCUGUCCAACGUUAAUCGGGGCAGGGUGAGUCGACCCCUAAGGCGAGGCCGAAAGGCGUAGUCGAUGGGAAACAGGUUAAUAUUCCUGUACUUGGUGUUACUGCGAAGGGGGGACGGAGAAGGCUAUGUUGGCCGGGCGACGGUUGUCCCGGUUUAAGCGUGUAGGCUGGUUUUCCAGGCAAAUCCGGAAAAUCAAGGCUGAGGCGUGAUGACGAGGCACUACGGUGCUGAAGCAACAAAUGCCCUGCUUCCAGGAAAAGCCUCUAAGCAUCAGGUAACAUCAAAUCGUACCCCAAACCGACACAGGUGGUCAGGUAGAGAAUACCAAGGCGCUUGAGAGAACUCGGGUGAAGGAACUAGGCAAAAUGGUGCCGUAACUUCGGGAGAAGGCACGCUGAUAUGUAGGUGAAGCGACUUGCUCGUGGAGCUGAAAUCAGUCGAAGAUACCAGCUGGCUGCAACUGUUUAUUAAAAACACAGCACUGUGCAAACACGAAAGUGGACGUAUACGGUGUGACGCCUGCCCGGUGCCGGAAGGUUAAUUGAUGGGGUUAGCGCAAGCGAAGCUCUUGAUCGAAGCCCCGGUAAACGGCGGCCGUAACUAUAACGGUCCUAAGGUAGCGAAAUUCCUUGUCGGGUAAGUUCCGACCUGCACGAAUGGCGUAAUGAUGGCCAGGCUGUCUCCACCCGAGACUCAGUGAAAUUGAACUCGCUGUGAAGAUGCAGUGUACCCGCGGCAAGACGGAAAGACCCCGUGAACCUUUACUAUAGCUUGACACUGAACAUUGAGCCUUGAUGUGUAGGAUAGGUGGGAGGCUUUGAAGUGUGGACGCCAGUCUGCAUGGAGCCGACCUUGAAAUACCACCCUUUAAUGUUUGAUGUUCUAACGUGGACCCGUAAUCCGGGUUGCGGACAGUGUCUGGUGGGUAGUUUGACUGGGGCGGUCUCCUCCUAAAGAGUAACGGAGGAGCACGAAGGUUGGCUAAUCCUGGUCGGACAUCAGGAGGUUAGUGCAAUGGCAUAAGCCAGCUUGACUGCGAGCGUGACGGCGCGAGCAGGUGCGAAAGCAGGUCAUAGUGAUCCGGUGGUUCUGAAUGGAAGGGCCAUCGCUCAACGGAUAAAAGGUACUCCGGGGAUAACAGGCUGAUACCGCCCAAGAGUUCAUAUCGACGGCGGUGUUUGGCACCUCGAUGUCGGCUCAUCACAUCCUGGGGCUGAAGUAGGUCCCAAGGGUAUGGCUGUUCGCCAUUUAAAGUGGUACGCGAGCUGGGUUUAGAACGUCGUGAGACAGUUCGGUCCCUAUCUGCCGUGGGCGCUGGAGAACUGAGGGGGGCUGCUCCUAGUACGAGAGGACCGGAGUGGACGCAUCACUGGUGUUCGGGUUGUCAUGCCAAUGGCACUGCCCGGUAGCUAAAUGCGGAAGAGAUAAGUGCUGAAAGCAUCUAAGCACGAAACUUGCCCCGAGAUGAGUUCUCCCUGACCCUUUAAGGGUCCUGAAGGAACGUUGAAGACGACGACGUUGAUAGGCCGGGUGUGUAAGCGCAGCGAUGCGUUGAGCUAACCGGUACUAAUGAACCGUGAGGCUUAACCUU
This 2902-nucleotide ribosomal RNA is filed under the name Escherichia coli O182:H21. Its description in RNAcentral is "bacterial LSU rRNA". It matches the Rfam family "Bacterial large subunit ribosomal RNA". Lineage: Bacteria; Pseudomonadati; Pseudomonadota; Gammaproteobacteria; Enterobacterales; Enterobacteriaceae. The record is from RNAcentral.